CGCUGGCGGCGUGCCUAAUACAUGCAAGUCGAACGGUCUUUCUAUGGAAGCUUGCUUCCACUGAGAAGAUAGUGGCGAACGGGUGAGUAACACGUGGGUAACCUGCCCAUAAGAGGGGGAUAACAUCCGGAAACGGGUGCUAAUACCGCAUAGUUUUCUUGAUCGCAUGAUCGGGAAAGGAAAGACGGCCUUUGUGCUGUCGCUUAUGGAUGGACCCGCGGCGUAUUAGUUAGUUGGUGAGGUAACGGCUCACCAAGACGAUGAUACGUAGCCGACCUGAGAGGGUGAUCGGCCACAUUGGGACUGAGACACGGCUCAAACUCCUACGGGAGGCAGCAGUAGGGAAUCUUCCGCAAUGGACGAAAGUCUGACGGAGCAACGCCGCGUGAGUGAAAGAAGGUUUUCGGAUCGUAAAACUCUGUUGUCAGAGAAGAACAAGUUGGAGAGUAACUGCUCCAGCCUUGACGGUAUCUGACCAGAAAGCCACGGCUAACUACGUGCCAGCCGCCGC
Molecule: ribosomal RNA, 511 nt
Filed under: uncultured bacterium
Lineage: Bacteria
Description: bacterial SSU rRNA
Rfam family: Bacterial small subunit ribosomal RNA
Source: RNAcentral